This 260-nucleotide ribosomal RNA is filed under the name uncultured Bacillota bacterium. Its description in RNAcentral is "uncultured Firmicutes bacterium partial 16S ribosomal RNA". It matches the Rfam family "Bacterial small subunit ribosomal RNA", at positions 338 to 590 of the family's 1533-position model. The record is from RNAcentral. Lineage: Bacteria; Bacillati; Bacillota.
CCUACGGGGGGCUGCAGUAGGGAAUCUUCCACAAUGGGCGCAAGCCUGAUGGAGCAACGCCGCGUGUGUGAUGAAGGCUUUCGGGUCGUAAAGCACUGUUGUAUGGGAAGAAAUGCUAGAAUAGGGAAUGAUUCUAGUUCGACGGUACCAUACCAGAAAGGGACGGCUAAAUACGUGCCAGCAGCCGCGGUAAUACGUAUGUCCCGAGCGUUAUCCGGAUUUAUUGGGCGUAAAGCGAGCGCAGACGGUUGAUUAAGUCU